CAUGGUUACGAUGUCUCCCUACAAUUCCCCUUUUAGUCUAAAAGAGGAUUAAAACUUAAUAGUGUAAAAUAUCCCAAAUUAACAAUUAUAAAGGUGAAAUACAAGAAUAUACAAUAAUCUGUUAUUGCACAUCCUAACUAUGUCUAUUCCAGCUAAGCCCUAAAGUCAUCUGAAAGGGGUGUCCAACCUGAACACCUCCUUCCAAUCCCAACCCUAAGCAAUCAGAAAAUCAUUCCUAACUAGGCUUACACUACCCUAAUAAACAAUAAUGAGUAAACGGGGCAUAGCGUCUUCCAAGUUACUUCCUGCUGAAAUGGGACGAUGGUAGCCUUGUGAGGUCCUGUGGGAAGAAAAUGUUAGUAUAGUGAAAGUCUCUAAUGGGUUAUGUCCAGUUCAUGUUAGAUUGUAUUUGCUUGAUUGAAGAUCUAGGUUGAAAUCCUCAACUCGAUUGAAGUCAGUACUGGAAGCUCUGGUUGGAGUGUCAGUUGAAACGGAGUAAGUUGGAUCCAGUGCAGUCUAGGGGUUAUGGCCCAAUUUUUUUUCCGGAGCAUCCAGGGAUUGCUGUCAGGCGGGUCUUCAUUGGCUGUGUGGGACUCAAACUUCUUGGGCACCAGACCAAUAAAAUGGGCAGGAACCCAUGCUAUUUGCAGAGGAAAAUGGGGCGAAAAGCACUUCCGGCGUACAUUGUCCAUAUAAAUUAUACUUGUUUGCAAUUCAUCGACUCAUUCUUUCUUUUAUAUCCAUAUGUAAUGUAAACGAUCAUCUUUCUCUGAAGCUCAAUAAUGAUGCACAACUCAAAAUGUGAUAGAAUCAGCUAAAAGAAAGCAGAUGGAAGAUUUUUUCCUCUAUAUGCAUAUUCAUAAGAAUACAGAGAACUCAACAAAAGGAGAUACAUAAGAGCUCAUACCCGGAGGCUACAUGGACUUAUGUAUGGCAGUAACUUGUUUUUCUGCAACUGUUUGUUCUUCAAACCUUUACUCAUUUCUUCCUGAAGCAGUCACUAAAAAUGCACUGGGAAAAAAAACUGCUUCCCUCUAUACAAACAAACAUAUCCCCCU
Molecule: long non-coding RNA, 1058 nt
Filed under: Cricetulus griseus (Chinese hamster)
Lineage: Eukaryota; Metazoa; Chordata; Mammalia; Rodentia; Cricetidae
Description: lncRNA (ENSCGRG00000026013.1)
Source: RNAcentral